Molecule: non-coding RNA, 75 nt
Organism: Oryzias latipes (Japanese medaka)
Lineage: Eukaryota; Metazoa; Chordata; Actinopteri; Beloniformes; Adrianichthyidae
Source: Rfam
CUAUAUAUACCCUGUAGAACCGAAUUUGUGUGAAGAACGCUCAAUCACAGAUUCGAUUCUAGGGGAGUAUAUGGU